GACGAACGCUGGCGGCGUGCCUAAUACAUGCAAGUAGAACGCCGAAGAGAGGAGCUUGCUCUUCUUGGAUGAGUUGCGAACGGGUGAGUAACGCGUAGGUAACCUGCCUUGUAGCGGGGGAUAACUAUUGGAAACGAUAGCUAAUACCGCAUAACAAUGGAUGACACAUGUCAUUUAUUUGAAGGGGCAAUUGCUCCACUACAAGAUGGACCUGCGUUGUAUUAGCUAGUAGGUGAGGUAAUGGCUCACCUAGGCGACGAUACAUAGCCGACCUGAGAGGGUGAUCGGCCACACUGGGACUGAGACACGGCCCAGACUCCUACGGGAGGCAGCAGUAGGGAAUCUUCGGCAAUGGGGGCAACCCUGACCGAGCAACGCCGCGUGAGUGAAGAAGGUUUUCGGAUCGUAAAGCUCUGUUGUAAGUCAAGAACGGGUGUGAGAGUGGAAAGUUCACACUGUGACGGUAGCUUACCAGAAAGGGACGGCUAACUACGUG
This 496-nucleotide ribosomal RNA is filed under the name uncultured bacterium. Its description in RNAcentral is "partial 16S ribosomal RNA". It matches the Rfam family "Bacterial small subunit ribosomal RNA", at positions 28 to 507 of the family's 1533-position model. The record is from RNAcentral.